CCCUUUCUCCUACCCUCUCUCCUCUUCCUCCAUCCAUUUCCUCUCCCUCCUUCCCUUUUCUUUUUCCUUUCUCUUUCUCACUACUCCCUUCCCUCUCUUCUUCUCUCCCACCUCCCUCCUUCUCCCUCAGUCUCUUUCAGUACCAUGUGACAAGUUCAAUGGCCAGCACUGGAAACACCAAGCUGAAUUCCAGGGGGUCAGCGAUUAGCACCCAACAAUUCCAGUGCCUUCAUUCACAUUUGCAUUGCUAAGCAGUUAGGCACCUACAACUAACUUAGUUUGCCUUCAUUCCUAGGACUUGUUUGACUGUGCUCUGUGUCCCGUGAUCUUUUGCUCUGUUCCUGUGUGUCCUGUUUCAGGGAGGGUAGACCUGCAUCUUUCUUCUUUGUACACACUGGGACAAGACGACUGCUUCAUUGAUUCUUGAGCAAGAGGAACCGUGAAAGAAAGCCAAUUUUUGAUGUUGAAGUGACGUAGCAUUUCUGCUGUAGUUGGAAAUAGCACUGUCUCUCCAGUGUCCCAAAUUCACUUCCAUUAAACGGUCGAUGUGAUAAAUGUCUGUGACAUGUUCUAUUACCUUUCUAGUUGUUCCUGUGUUCCUUUCAGCUGGCCCUAUAACCCCCUUUCUCAGGAAUGUCUCCCCAGUGAAAGGAAAAAAAAGACUGCAGAGACUGCAGACUGAUGGACGCUCGUGCCAACCCAUGGAGUUGAAACAAAGCAAGUGACCAGCUGAGGAGGCCCCUCCUGCCCAUCAGCCACCCACACGGUGCAGUUGCAGCUAACAGUAAUCUUUGCAAGAAACAGAGAAAUCCAGAACACCCAUGAGUCAAAAAUGUCCCUUUCCUUGUGUGUAUCCCCCUGUCUUCAUUCAGAUUGGUGUGCCUUCCAUUUUGAUCCUGGUACGCAUCUGCUUUUUAGUCAGCAAGUGUCAAGGCAACUUUGCCCACGUGUGUUCAUGUAUGAAGAGACUACAUUUUCUGGGGAGAGAGAUUUUGAUCAAAACAUAGUGCUCUUGAGAGUGAUCUAGAAAGUGAAAAGCAUUUUGGAAGGACAGCAAAGCCGUCACAGGCGAUCCACCGAGAUGCUCAUACCACCAUGCAGAAACACCACACCAUGUCCCCAGAGUCUGAGCAGCAAGCUUGGCUCUGUGACAUAUGGCGGCUGCUUCCGAGGGUGGACAUCAAGCUAGAUGAAGGUACAGAAGCAACCUAAAAUGUAGUGAUAAACUGAGUCAGGAGACAGUAAGAACACGAAAGACAGUGUGCUUGGAGGAGGCCAAAUUGGUUUGCUUAAGGAAGGACGCUCCCCUGAAGAGAGAAUAGGAAAUAAAACUUGAAAGGAUGUGAAAACAAAGUUAGAUAUGUGGAAGAUAGGAGAAAAUAGAGUCCUGAGGGCAAACAUAACGGUGAGCAAUGGGAUGGCAGAGGAGAUCCACAUGGUGCAUUUUGGAGACUACACAUCCUCACCUUAACUUGAUUUCACCUGACCUUUGGAACCCCUGUCUGUGUGUCUGGUAGAGAUGCUACAUACAGGUAACUCCCCUCUCCCACCCCAGUUGUCACUUAAACCAAACUAGACCUAAAGUUCCAGUUCUAUGUCACUACAGGGGUGAAGGUGAUUGAUUGGUGGUACCUACGUAGAAUUCCUGAUUUUUCUGUUCAUAGUUGAUUGUUACCAAGUUUAUUCCACACAGGAACUUUUUUACAUAUUAAAUCUCAUGGUAGCUAUGAAAACUACACACCACCCACACUUUGAGGACAAUGAAACUAGUUUUGGUGAGGUUGAGUGCCUGGCCCAGGUGCUACAUGCAGCUAUGCACGUUCAAGGUUGUUGUGGUCAUGAAACUCAGUCCCUAGUCAGACUUUUGUGAUGAGUCCCAACACAGUUGUCACCUUUUCCAUAGCUCUUAAUGCCCGUCUACAGAUAUACAUGGCUCUUCUGCUGACUUAUGGCCACCAUGUCUCCUACUUUUGUAGCUGAAUUGUACCAGAGUGAUAAAAACAUAUUUCCAUGGAAGAAAAUUGAGAACUUAGUGAAGUACACUGCCUGCCUGCAGUUUGUACAUUUCCUCUUGAGUUUGGUCUGAUAUGAGACUUUCGAUUUAGUUCUGCCUGAAACCUCAGUUUUAAGAGCAGUAAGGCCAGGGCCUUAGGUUACCUGUUAACAGUAUCUUUUUGACAGAAAAUGUAAAUCUACAGCCUGUAAUCAGAGUGACUUACAAACAAACAAACAAAACCAAAAAGAACCAAACAAACAACCACCCCCACCAAACAAUAAAACAAACAACCGCCCUCCAUACACACACAUACUUGGAAGUGGCCCAACAAAGACCCAAAACUAAACCCUCAUUGUUUAUCUUUCAGUGGCUUUUAAAUUACUCUACCAUUUCCUAAAGAAACAUGAACUGGUACUUGGUUAAAGGCACAAACGCUGCAUAGAGUGAAUCCAGUAGAAUCUAGUUCCUUCCCUCCUUGGCAUUGAUAUCAAUGUUAAAUACAGCUAUGAACUAGUGUAUUUAAGUCAAGAAGUUGUCAAUGAUUUGUCUCCAAGGAACACAAAAUAGCCAAAGUCGUACGUAUACUCUAUCUUUAAUUCUUCCAAUCAUGAAGUCAUUAGUACACCUGCACCAAUCCAGUCUUCCAUUGUACAUCUUCUCAACCAAUCUGACCAAUGGCAAUCAUUUGCAAGUGCUAUAAAUGUCUAUCUAUGGCUGUUUCAGGAACGAAUACCACUAGUCAUUUGCUGGUGUAACUAAUUCAAGACAACUUUGACCAUAAAAACCUAGAACUAAAAAUCCCAUUCUGGCUUUCAGCCACUCUGCAUUUGAUUGACAUUUAACAGUGAUUACUAAAUUGCCCGUAUAGAUAAUUGUGAUUUUUGUCUUCAAUGAGACAGUUAAGCUGGGCAGGCUAAGGGACAGACGUCUAACUUUUUGAGGUACCUGGAUAUUUAGCUGAUGUAAUUUUCUUUUAGCUGUUUGACAUUGUCAUAUAUAGUCCUGCUCAUGGAUCUAUCUUAUUUUUUUCAAAAUGCUUGUUGGCUCUGCCUAACACUGUCCCCACUGAUCUGGAUCUCAUAAAUGAACAGGUUUGUUGUUAAAGAGUAGCCCAAGCACCAAGUGUGAUGUUGUUGAUGUUUUACAAGACUUUCCUUGGUCCCUGACUCCCAAUAAAAGAAAUGUUGCAUUAACUGUGAA
This 3196-nucleotide long non-coding RNA is filed under the name Rattus norvegicus (Norway rat). Its description in RNAcentral is "long non-coding RNA NONRATT027596". Lineage: Eukaryota; Metazoa; Chordata; Mammalia; Rodentia; Muridae. The record is from RNAcentral.